GGGUUGUGAGGUUAAGCGACUAAGCGUACACGGUGGAUGCCCUGGCAGUCAGAGGCGAUGAAGGACGUGCUAAUCUGCGAAAAGCGUCGGUAAGGUGAUAUGAACCGUUACAGCCGGCGAUGUCCGAAUGGGGAAACCCAGUGCAAUUCGUUGCACUAUCGUUAACUGAAUACAUAGGUUAACGAGGCGAACCGGGGGAACUGAAACAUCUAAGUACCCCGAGGAAAAGAAAUCAACCGAGAUUCCCCCAGUAGCGGCGAGCGAACGGGGAGCAGCCCAGAGUCUGAAUCAGCUUGUGUGUUAGUGGAACGGUCUGGAAAGUCCGACGGUACAGGGUGAUAGUCCCGUACACCAAAAUGCACAGGUUGUGAACUCGAAGAGUAGGGCGGGACACGUGGUAUCCUGUCUGAAUAUGGGGGGACCAUCCUCCAAGGCUAAAUACUCCUGACUGACCGAUAGUGAACCAGUACCGUGAGGGAAAGGCGAAAAGAACCCCGGCGAGGGGAGUGAAAAAGAACCUGAAACCGUGUACGUACAAGCAGUGGGAGCACCUUAGGGUGUGACUGCGUACCUUUUGUAUAAUGGGUCAGCGACUUAUAUUCUGUAGCAAGGUUAACCGUAUAGGGGAGCCGCAGGGAAACCGAGUCUUAACUGGGCGUUAAGUUGCAGGGUAUAGACCCGAAACCCGGUGAUCUAGCCAUGGGCAGGUUGAAGGUUGGGUAACACUAACUGGAGGACCGAACCGACUAAUGUUGAAAAAUUAGCGGAUGACUUGUGGCUGGGGGUGAAAGGCCAAUCAAACCGGGAGAUAGCUGGUUCUCCCCGAAAGCUAUUUAGGUAGCGCCUCGUGAACUCAUCUUCGGGGGUAGAGCACUGUUUCGGCUAGGGGGUCAUCCCGACUUACCAACCCGAUGCAAACUACGAAUACCGAAGAAUGUUAUCACGGGAGACACACGGCGGGUGCUAACGUCCGUCGUGAAGAGGGAAACAACCCAGACCGCCAGCUAAGGUCCCAAAGUCAUGGUUAAGUGGGAAACGAUGUGGGAAGGCACAGACAGCCAGGAUGUUGGCUUAGAAGCAGCCAUCAUUUAAAGAAAGCGUAAUAGCUCACUGGUCGAGUCGGCCUGCGCGGAAGAUGUAACGGGGCUAAACCAUGCACCGAAGCUGCGGCAGCGACACUAUGUGUUGUUGGGUAGGGGAGCGUUCUGUAAGCCUGCGAAGGUGACCUGUGAGGGUUGCUGGAGGUAUCAGAAGUGCGAAUGCUGACAUAAGUAACGAUAAAGCGGGUGAAAAGCCCGCUCGCCGGAAGACCAAGGGUUCCUGUCCAACGUUAAUCGGGGCAGGGUGAGUCGACCCCUAAGGCGAGGCCGAAAGGCGUAGUCGAUGGGAAACAGGUUAAUAUUCCUGUACUUGGUGUUACUGCGAAGGGGGGACGGAGAAGGCUAUGUUAGCCGGGCGACGGUUGUCCCGGUUUAAGCAUGUAGGCUGGUUAUCCAGGCAAAUCCGGAUAAUCAAGGCUGAGGUGUGAUGACGAGGCACUACGGUGCUGAAGUAACAAAUGCCCUGCUUCCAGGAAAAGCCUCUAAGCAUCAGGUAACAUCAAAUCGUACCCCAAACCGACACAGGUGGUCAGGUAGAGAAUACCAAGGCGCUUGAGAGAACUCGGGUGAAGGAACUAGGCAAAAUGGUGCCGUAACUUCGGGAGAAGGCACGCUGGUGUGUAGGUGAAGCCCCUGCGGGUGGAGCUGAGACCAGUCGAAGAUACCAGCUGGCUGCAACUGUUUAUUAAAAACACAGCACUGUGCAAACACGAAAGUGGACGUAUACGGUGUGACGCCUGCCCGGUGCCGGAAGGUUAAUUGAUGGGGUUAUCCGUAAGGAGAAGCUCUUGAUCGAAGCCCCGGUAAACGGCGGCCGUAACUAUAACGGUCCUAAGGUAGCGAAAUUCCUUGUCGGGUAAGUUCCGACCUGCACGAAUGGCGUAAUGAUGGCCAGGCUGUCUCCACCCGAGACUCAGUGAAAUUGAACUCGCUGUGAAGAUGCAGUGUACCCGCGGCAAGACGGAAAGACCCCGUGAACCUUUACUAUAGCUUGACACUGAACAUUGAGCCUUGAUGUGUAGGAUAGGUGGGAGGCUUUGAAGCGUGGACGCCAGUCUGCGUGGAGCCAACCUUGAAAUACCACCCUUUAAUGUUUGAUGUUCUAACGUUGGCCCCUAAUCGGGGUUGCGGACAGUGUCUGGUGGGUAGUUUGACUGGGGCGGUCUCCUCCCAAAGCGUAACGGAGGAGCACGAAGGUUAGCUAAUCCUGGUCGGACAUCAGGAGGUUAGUGCAAUGGCAUAAGCUAGCUUGACUGCGAGCGUGACGGCGCGAGCAGGUGCGAAAGCAGGUCAUAGUGAUCCGGUGGUUCUGAAUGGAAGGGCCAUCGCUCAACGGAUAAAAGGUACUCCGGGGAUAACAGGCUGAUACCGCCCAAGAGUUCAUAUCGACGGCGGUGUUUGGCACCUCGAUGUCGGCUCAUCACAUCCUGGGGCUGAAGUAGGUCCCAAGGGUAUGGCUGUUCGCCAUUUAAAGUGGUACGCGAGCUGGGUUUAGAACGUCGUGAGACAGUUCGGUCCCUAUCUGCCGUGGGCGCUGGAGAAUUGAGGGGGGCUGCUCCUAGUACGAGAGGACCGGAGUGGACGCAUCACUGGUGUUCGGGUUGUCAUGCCAAUGGCACUGCCCGGUAGCUAAAUGCGGAAGAGAUAAGUGCUGAAAGCAUCUAAGCACGAAACUUGCCCCGAGAUGAGUUCUCCCUGAGACUUUAAGUCUCCUGAAGGAACGUUAAAGACGAUGACGUUGAUAGGCCGGGUGUGUAAGCGCAGCGAUGCGUUGAGCUAACCGGUACUAAUGAACCGUGAGGCUUAACCUUACAACGCCGAAG
This 2923-nucleotide ribosomal RNA is filed under the name Klebsiella quasipneumoniae. RNAcentral's name for it is "23S ribosomal RNA". It matches the Rfam family "Bacterial large subunit ribosomal RNA". The record is from RNAcentral. Lineage: Bacteria; Pseudomonadati; Pseudomonadota; Gammaproteobacteria; Enterobacterales; Enterobacteriaceae.